CAUGUGGUUUAAUUCGAUGAUACGCGAGGAACCUUACCUGGGCUCAAAUGUAUGUUGACGUAUUCUGAAAGGGAUACUUCUUCGGACAAUAUACAAGGUGCUGCAUGGUUGUCGUCAGCUCGUGCCGUGAGGUGUCGGGUUAAGUCCCAUAACGAGCGCAACCCCUAUCAUUAGUUGCCAUCAGGUCAAGCUGGGGACUCUAAUGAAACUGCCUACGCAAGUAGUGAGGAAGGUGGGGAUGACGUCAAGUCAUCAUGGCCCUUAUGCCCAGGGCGACACACGUGCUACAAUGGCCGGCACAGCGGGAAGCGGAGGGGCGACCCUGAGCGGAUCCCUUGAAAGCCGGCCCCAGUUCGGAUUGCAGUCUGCAACUCGACUGCAUGAAGUUGGAAUCGCUAGUAAUCGCGGAUCAGCCAAGCCGCGGUGAAUACGUUCCCGGGCCUU
RNAcentral lists this ribosomal RNA (444 nucleotides) under uncultured Sphingobacteriales bacterium. Its description in RNAcentral is "bacterial SSU rRNA". It matches the Rfam family "Bacterial small subunit ribosomal RNA", at positions 938 to 1382 of the family's 1533-position model. Lineage: Bacteria; Pseudomonadati; Bacteroidota; Sphingobacteriia; Sphingobacteriales. The record is from RNAcentral.